UGGGGAUGUGGCUCAGUGAUAGAACACUUGCCUACCAUGCAAGAGGCCCUGGGUUUGAUCCCCAGCACCUAA
Molecule: transfer RNA, 72 nt
Filed under: Marmota monax (woodchuck)
Lineage: Eukaryota; Metazoa; Chordata; Mammalia; Rodentia; Sciuridae
Description: tRNA.Gly
Rfam family: tRNA
About the family: Transfer RNA (tRNA) molecules are approximately 80 nucleotides in length. Their secondary structure includes four short double-helical elements and three loops (D, anti-codon, and T loops).
Source: RNAcentral